RNAcentral lists this unclassified non-coding RNA (622 nucleotides) under Hevea brasiliensis (rubber tree). Lineage: Eukaryota; Viridiplantae; Streptophyta; Magnoliopsida; Malpighiales; Euphorbiaceae. The record is from RNAcentral.
UCCUGGAGUAUGGCCUACCUGAGAACCCUGAAAUGGUUGUGGCAUUGAUGCAAAAGGCAACAAUAAAUGUUAGUGGACACUUGCUUAAUGCCAUAACCAUUGAGCAUUUCAUUUUGAGGUUGCCUUAUCACUCAAAAUUUACUUUUGCUAAGGGUGUAAAGAAUGACGAGAUGACUGCACGCAGCAUUUUUGGCUUGGAGCUUUCCGAACCAUUGGUGACAUUUGCUCUCUCUUGUGGAAGUUUUUCCUCUCCUGCUGUGAGAGUAUACACAGCAGCAAAUAUUGAAAAUGAGCUUCAAGUAGCAAAGAAGGAGUAUUUGCAGGCAUCUGUUGGCGUUUCAACAUCAAAGAAGUUGGUAGCAAUACCAAAGCUGUUGGACUGGUAUCUGCUAGAUUUUGCAAAGGAUCUAGAGUCACUACUUGAUUGGAUAUGUCUUCAACUUCCAAAUGAACACGGAAAAGAAGCAAUCAACUGUCUCGAGAGAAAGAACAACGAGCCUCUCUCCAACGUUCUUCAGAUAGUGCCUUAUGAAUUUAGUUUCCGGUACCUUUUACACAUGUAAGUUUUGUUUCUCAAUAACCAAACUAGACUUAAAAAAGUUUUUUGGUGGUAUAGAGGGGG